This 3844-nucleotide transfer RNA is filed under the name Marmota monax (woodchuck). The record is from RNAcentral. Lineage: Eukaryota; Metazoa; Chordata; Mammalia; Rodentia; Sciuridae.
AGAGAAAUCAGCCUGAAGAGUUAUGAAACCAAGGCUACUCAAAUCAAUCAUGCUGGGUUAGUCCCAGAUUUAAUAAGGUAUGUUGUAUUGUACAAAGUUGCCCAAUUUUAUUUGAAACCACACUGUAUGUUAAAGUCAAAAUGUAGACCUCCAAGUCACAUGUGGCAGCACAUGCCUGUAAUCCAGUGACCCGGGAGGCUGAGAUGAGGAUCACAAGAUCAGCCUAUGCAACUUAGUGAGACCCUUGUCUCAAAAUUUAAAAAUGACAAGGGCUGGGAAUUUAGCUCAGUGGUAUAGUAUUCCUGGGUUUGAUCCCCAGUAUAUCUCCCCCCAAUACACACACAAAGAUAAAGCUCCAGCAAUUUCCAGGUUUCACGGGUGUUUCAGUUGACUCUGGGUUAAAAAUCUAGGUUACUCAAGUCUCAUAUUAUUGGUCCUUAGUAGAAGGGAUCUGGAUUUAGUAUCAGUUUCAAUUAUAAAUGACUAAUACCUUGGACAAGUUACCUGACUUACCUGAGUCUUAGUUUCUUCAUCUGGAAACCACUUCCUGGUAUGUGGGUGACACACAAUAAACGUUUGGGUCCUUUCUCAUGAUGCUCUCCUGUCAGCAAUCCAAUCAGCUGGACUUUGGUUCCUCUUGAUUAGAACAGUGACUUUCCAAUGUGGAGGACUAUUCUGGAUAAAAGUCUGUUGUCUUUCUCUCCCUUUUAUAGGUCCCUUACCUGUCUUUUGGACAUAGACCCUAUCAUAUCCAACAUUUCUGUUAUUUACUCCAAAGGGUUAUCAAGGUAAUUAGUGGUCCGCCUCAUUUUCUGUGCUCUAUAAUGACCAUUCUCUUCUGUUAAACAUUUUUCUUCUAAUGAGUUAUAAAAUUGUUCAUUACUAAUUAUGACAUUGAUUUUAGUUUUAAGAAUUCUAAACCUUUUUUUCUCCCCUAAAUUCAAAGUUUUUUGUAGAAGGAAUUGCAAAAAAAUGAAAUCACCCAAAGAACCACUUUACUAUUUUUUUUUUUUUUUUGUACCUGGGAUUAAACCCAGGUGUGCUUAACCACUGAGCAACAUCCCCAGCCCUUUUAAUAUUUUAUUUGAAGACAGGCUCUUGCUAAGUUGCUUAGGCUGGCUUUGAAUUUGUGAUCCUCCUGCCUCAACCUCCCGAGCUGGUGGGAUUACAGGUAUGUGCCACUGUGCCCAGCCCACUUUACUAUCUUUUUUAUAUUUUUUAGAUGUUGAUGGACCUUUAUUUUGUUAAUUUAUUUAUAUGUGGUACUGAGAAUUGAACCCAGUGCCUCACACAUGCUAGGCAAGUGCAUUACCACUUAGCUAUAACCCCAGCCCCAGUUUACUAUUUUAAUAAGCAUCUUUCCAUAUAUCUUUCUAUACACUUCCAUAUGUAGAUAUUUAUUUAUAAAUUUAUAGGGCCCUAUUAUGCCUACUAGCAUAGUACUAGUAGCAUUAUUCCAUAAAGUUGUUGAUAAAUUCAUUCUAUUAUUUUUUAAAUAUUUUUUUUAGUUGUAGUUGGACACAAUACCCUUAUUUUAUUUACUUAUUUUUAUGUAGUGCUGAGGAUUGAACCCAGGGCCUCGUGCAUGCUAGGCAAGUGCUCUACCACUGAGCUACAACUUCAGCCCCUCUAUUAUUUUUUUAAACCAACCUUUUAUUGCUGGGCAUUUGGCUUGUUUCCAGUUUUUCAAAAUUAUAAACAACACUGAAAUAAACAUCCUUUUAUGUAAUUAUAUCUUUUUCUCCUUAGGACAAUAGUUCUUUAUCCUAGAGCGAGAUGUGGUGGCACAUGCCUGUAAUCCCAAUGGCUCAGGAGGCUGAGGAUCUUGAGUUCAGAGCUAGCCUCAGUAAUUUAUCAAGGCCCUAAGCAACUCAGUGAGACCCUGUCUCUAAAUAAAAUAAAAAAUAACUGGGGAUGUGGCUCAGUAGUUAAGUCCCCCUGAGUUUAAUCUCUGGUUCCAAAAAUCUUUAUCCUGGCCUCUCCUGAAGAGUUUUUUGUAUACCUUUUUUUUAGUUGAGUGGACCUUUAUUUAUUUAUUUAUUUAUUUUUAUAUGGUUCUGAGAAUUAAACCCAGUGUCUCACACAUACAAGGCAAGUACUCUACCACUGAGCAAUAACCUCAGUCCUCCUGAAGAGCUUUUAAAGGCCCCUUUUUGGGCUGGGGAUAUGGCUCAAGCGGUAGCGCACUCGCCUGGCGUGCGUGCGGCCCAGGUUGGAUCCUCAGCACCACAUACAAAGAUGUUGUGUCCGCCGAAAACUAAACAAUAAAUAUUAAAAUUCCCUCUCUCUUUCUCUUUAACAAAAAAAUAAAUAAAGGCCCCUUUUCUACCUCUACUGAAAUAAAUCAGAUGGUGGUAAGCCUGAGCAUCAAUAUUUGUUAAAAAUGCCUUAGAUGAUUCUAUGUACAAUUAUGGUUAAAGACCAUUGUUUUAAGAUAAAGACCUCUGAAUUCUAUUCAGGUGGUGCAUGAACCAGCAGCCCAAGUGCCACCUGGGAGAGUGAUAGACAAGCAAAAGCUUGGACAUCACCUCAGACCUCAAUUCCAGAAUAUACAUUUAUUUAUUUAUUUACUUACUUACUUAAUUUAUGCCAAUGAUAGAAACCAUGGCACUAUAGCUCACUAUAUACUGAGCUACAUUCUCAGCCCUUUUCAUUUUUUUGAGACAGGGUCUUGCUUAGGUUGCCCAGGCUUAAAACUCAUUGAACCCCAUCCCUAUCUCUUCAUCUAUUCUGUGGUUUUAACCUAUUUAUUGUCUUCACAGAAUGAGUUCAAACCUGCGAUCCUCCUGCCUGAGCCUCCUGAGUGGCUAGAAUUACAGACAUGCAACAAAAUCCAUAUUUUAACAAGAUUUCCAGGUGAUUCAUCUGUAAGAUAAAAUUUGUGAAGUGCUGGUCUAAAUGGUAUUUCUGGAUCAAAAAACAUUUACAUUUAAAAUACACUCAAAAAUCUCUCUGUAGAUAAGUGGCACCAAUUCAUAUCCCCAACACAGAUGCUUGAUUCCCCCCUCUCCCACCAAACUUAGAUCUUACCGAUAUUUUUCCUCUUUAGUUAUCUUAUUUUAAUUUACAUUUUUGAUUAUCAGUGAAACUAGACAUCUUUUAACAUGCUAACUGGUUACUUGUUAUGCUUCUUUUUAAAAAAAUAUUUUUAUUAGUUGUUGAUGGCCACCAUUUUACUUGUUUAUUUAUAAUGCAGUGCUGAGAUUCUAACCCAGUGCCUCACACAUGCUAGGAAAGUGCUCUACCACUGAGCCACAACCCCAUGCCCUUUGUUAUGCUUCUUUUCUGAAUUGCUCUUUGCAUGUUUUUCCAUUAAGGUGUUUGUCUUUUUCUUAGAAGUUAUUAGAUCUCUUUGGAUAUUAGGAAUAUAAACCUUUUAGUCAUACAAUAUAUUGCAACUCUAUCAUUUGUUGACUUUAUCCUCAUUCAGCCAUUAUUUUAUAUUUUUAAUUAAUUAAUUAAUUUUGUAGUUGUAGAUGGACAGAAUGCCUUAUUUUGUUAUUUUUAUGUGGUGCUGAGGAUCGAACCCAGUGCCUCACACAUGCUAGGCAAGUUCUCUGCCACUGAGCUACAGCCCCAGCCCUUACAUUUUUAAAAAAUCUAUUUUUUAGUUGUAGGUGGACAUAAAACCUUUAGUUUUUUUUAGUUGUCAAUGGACUUUAUUUAUUUAUAUGUGGUGCUGAGACUUGAACCCAGUGCCUCACACAUACUAGGCAAGUGCUCCACCACUGAGCCACAACCCCAGCCCCCAAUACCUUUAUUUUUAUGUGGUGCUGAGGAUUGAACCCAGUGCCUCGCGCUCACUAGGUGAGCACUCUACCACUAAGCCCACCACCCCAGCCCA